This 172-nucleotide small nuclear RNA is filed under the name Jaculus jaculus (lesser Egyptian jerboa). Its description in RNAcentral is "U2 spliceosomal RNA (ENSJJAG00000004865.1)". It matches the Rfam family "U2 spliceosomal RNA". Rfam says of the family: U2 is a small nuclear RNA (snRNA) component of the spliceosome (involved in pre-mRNA splicing). Complementary binding between U2 snRNA (in an area lying towards the 5' end but 3' to hairpin I) and the branchpoint sequence (BPS) of the intron results the bulging out of an unpaired adenosine, on the BPS, which initiates a nucleophilic attack at the intronic 5' splice site, thus starting the first of two transesterification reactions that mediate splicing. Lineage: Eukaryota; Metazoa; Chordata; Mammalia; Rodentia; Dipodidae. The record is from Rfam by way of RNAcentral.
AUCGUUUCUUGGCCUUUUGGCUGAGAUCAAGUAUACUAUCUGUUCUUUAUCAGUUUAAUAUCUGAUGUGUCCUCUGAGGACAUUAUAUGAAAUGGGUUUUUGGAAGUAGGAGUUGGGACAGGAGUUUGCUCUAUCCAUUGACCUGGUACUAUAGUACCUUUAUGCACCCCUU